This 660-nucleotide ribosomal RNA is filed under the name uncultured bacterium. RNAcentral describes it as "bacterial SSU rRNA". It matches the Rfam family "Bacterial small subunit ribosomal RNA", at positions 94 to 788 of the family's 1533-position model. The record is from RNAcentral.
AGUGGCGGACGCGUGAGUAACGCGUGAGAAUCUGCCUUGGGGUCGGGGACAACCACUGGAAACGGUGGCUAAUACCGGAUAAGCCGAUUGGUGAAAGAUUUAUUGCCCGAAGAGGAGCUCGCGUCUGAUUAGCUAGUUGGUGAGGUAAGAGCUCACCAAGGCAGCGAUCAGUAGCUGGUCUGAGAGGACGAUCAGCCACACUGGGACUGAGACACGGCCCAGACUCCUACGGGAGGCAGCAGUGGGGAAUUUUCCGCAAUGGGCGAAAGCCUGACGGAGCAAGACCGCGUGAGGGAGGAAGGCUCUUGGGUUGUAAACCUCUUUUCUCAGGGAAGAAGCUCUGACGGUACCUGAGGAAUCAGCCUCGGCUAACUCCGUGCCAGCAGCCGCGGUAAUACGGAGGAGGCAAGCGUUAUCCGGAAUUAUUGGGCGUAAAGCGUCCGCAGGUGGCGAUUCAAGUCUGCUGUCAAAGCACGGGGCUUAACUCCGUAAAGGCAGUGGAAACUGAAUAGCUAGAGUGCCGUAGGGGUAGAGGGAAUUCCCGGUGUAGCGGUGAAAUGCGUAGAGAUCGGGAAGAACAUCGGUGGCGAAAGCGCUCUACUGGACGGCAACUGACACUCAGGGACGAAAGCUAGGGGAGCGAAUGGGAUUAGAUACCCC